RNAcentral lists this ribosomal RNA (460 nucleotides) under uncultured bacterium. RNAcentral's name for it is "partial 16S ribosomal RNA". It matches the Rfam family "Bacterial small subunit ribosomal RNA", at positions 338 to 795 of the family's 1533-position model. The record is from RNAcentral.
CCUACGGUAGGCAGCAGUGAGGAAUAUUGGUCAAUGGCCGGAAGGCUGAACCAGCCAUGCCGCGUGACGGUCAGUGCCCUAUGGGCGUUAAACUUCUUUUGUGCGGGAGCAAUAAUGGUCACGUGUGGCCAGACGAGAGUACCGUACGAAUAAGCAUCCGCUAACUCCGUUCCAGCAGCCGCGGUAAUACGGGGGAUGCAAGCGUUAUCCGGAUUUAUUGGGUUUAAAGGGUGCGUAGGCUGUGAGGUAAGUCAGCGGUGAAAUGCCCCCGCUCAACGGGGUGAAGUGCCAUUGAUACUGCCUUGCUGGAAUGCGGAUGACGUGGGAGGAAUGUGUGGUGUAGCGGUGAAAUGCAUAGAUAUCACACAGAACACCGAUUGCGAAGGCAUCUCACGAAUCCGCGAUUGACGCUGAUGCACGAAAGCGUGGGUAUCAAACAGGAUUAGAGACCCCUGUAGUC